CGGAGGGUGCAAGCGUUAUCCGGAUUCACUGGGUUUAAAGGGUGCGUAGGUGGGCAAGUAAGUCAGUGGUGAAAUCUCCGGGCUUAACCCGGAAACUGCCAUGAUACUAUUUGUCUUGAAUACUGUGGAGGUCAGCGGAAUAUGUCAUGUAGCGGUGAAAUGCUCAGAUAUGACAUAGAACACCAAUUGCGAAGGCAGCUGGCUACACAAAUAUUGACACUGAGGCACGAAAGCGUGGGGAUCAAACAGGAUUAGAUACCCUGGUAGUCCACGCCCUAAACUAUGGAUACUCGACAUUUGCGAUAAACUGCAAGUGUCUGAGCGAAAGCAUUAAGUAUCCCACCUGGGAAGUACGAUCGCAAGAUUG
RNAcentral lists this ribosomal RNA (367 nucleotides) under uncultured organism. RNAcentral's name for it is "bacterial SSU rRNA". It matches the Rfam family "Bacterial small subunit ribosomal RNA", at positions 526 to 896 of the family's 1533-position model. The record is from RNAcentral.